RNAcentral lists this transfer RNA (71 nucleotides) under Heliconius melpomene (postman butterfly). RNAcentral's name for it is "tRNA HMEL013072". It matches the Rfam family "tRNA". From Rfam's summary of the family: Transfer RNA (tRNA) molecules are approximately 80 nucleotides in length. Lineage: Eukaryota; Metazoa; Arthropoda; Insecta; Lepidoptera; Nymphalidae. The record is from RNAcentral.
GCGUCGGUGGUUCAGUGGUAGAAUGCUCGCCAGACACGCGGGCGGCCCGGGUUCGAUUCCCGGCCGAUGCA